UACAGAGGUCUCAAGCGUUGUUCGGAUUCAUUGGGCGUAAAGGGUGUGUAGGUGGCGCGCUAAGUCGGGUGUGAAAUUUCGGAGCUUAACUCCGAAACUGCAUUCGAUACUGGCGUGCUUGAGGACUGGAGAGGAGACUGGAAUUUACGGUGUAGCAGUGAAAUGCGUAGAUAUCGUAAGGAAGACCAGUGGCGAAGGCGGGCCUCUGGACAGUUCCUGACACUGAGACACGAAGGCCAGGGGAGCAAACGGG
Molecule: ribosomal RNA, 253 nt
Filed under: uncultured bacterium
Lineage: Bacteria
Description: partial 16S ribosomal RNA
Rfam family: Bacterial small subunit ribosomal RNA
Source: RNAcentral